GACGAACGCUGGCGGCGUGCCUAAUACAUGCAAGUAGAACGCUGAAGGAGGAGCUUGCUCUUCUGGAUGAGUUGCGAACGGGUGAGUAACGCGUAGGUAACCUGCCUGGUAGCGGGGGAUAACUAUUGGAAACGAUAGCUAAUACCGCAUAAGUGUAGAUGUUGCAUGACAUUUACUUAAAAGGUGCAAUUGCAUCACUACCAGAUGGACCUGCGUUGUAUUAGCUAGUUGGUGGGGUAACGGCUUACCAAGGCGACGAUACAUAGCCGACCUGAGAGGGUGAUCGGCCACACUGGGACUGAGACACGGCCCAGACUCCUACGGGAGGCAGCAGUAGGGAAUCUUCGGCAAUGGACGGAAGUCUGACCGAGCAACGCCGCGUGAGUGAAGAAGGUUUUCGGAUCGUAAAGCUCUGUUGUAAGAGAAGAACGAGUGUGAGAGUGGAAAGUUCACACUGUGACGGUAUCUUACCAGAAAGGGACGGCUAACUACGUG
RNAcentral lists this ribosomal RNA (495 nucleotides) under uncultured bacterium. RNAcentral's name for it is "partial 16S ribosomal RNA". It matches the Rfam family "Bacterial small subunit ribosomal RNA", at positions 28 to 507 of the family's 1533-position model. The record is from RNAcentral.